CGACACGGGGAGGUAGAGACAAUAAAUACUGAUACAGGGCUCUUUUGGGUCUUGUAAUUGGAAUGAGUACAAUUUAAAUCCCUUAACGAGGAACAAUUGGAGGGCAAGUCUGGUGCCAGCAGCCGCGGUGAUUCCAGCUCCAAUAGCGUAUAUUAAAGUUGUUGCAGUUAAAAAGCUCGUAGUUGAACCUUGGGCCUGGCUGGCCGGUCCGCCUCACCGCGUGUACUGGUCCGGCCGGGCCUUUCCUUCUGGGGAACCUCAUGCCCUUCACUGGGCGUGUUGGGGAACCAGGACUUUUACUUUGAAAAAAUUAGAGUGUUCAAAGCAGGCCUUUGCUCGAAUACAUUAGCAUGGAAUAAUAGAAUAGGACGUGUGGUACUAUUUUGUUGGUUUCUAGGACCGCCGUAAUGAUUAAUAGGGAUAGUCGGGGGCAUCAGUAUUCAAUCGUCAGAGGUGAAAUUCUUGGAUUGAUUGAAGACUAACUACUGCGAAAGCAUUUGCCAAGGAUGUUUUCAUUAAUCAGUGAACGAAAGUUAGGGGAUCGAAGACGAUCAGAUACCGUCGUAGUCUUAACCAUAAACUAUGCCGACUAGGGAUCGGACGGUGUUAGUAUUUUGACCCGUUCGGCACCUUACGAGAAAUCAAAGUUUUUGGGUUCUGGGGGGAGUAUGGUCGCAAGGCUGAAACUUAAAGAAAUUGACGGAAGGGCACCACCAGGCGUGGAGCCUG
Molecule: ribosomal RNA, 729 nt
Filed under: uncultured marine eukaryote
Lineage: Eukaryota
Description: SSU rRNA
Rfam family: Eukaryotic small subunit ribosomal RNA
Source: RNAcentral